Molecule: long non-coding RNA, 376 nt
Filed under: Pogona vitticeps (central bearded dragon)
Lineage: Eukaryota; Metazoa; Chordata; Lepidosauria; Squamata; Agamidae
Description: lncRNA (ENSPVIG00000017138.1)
Source: RNAcentral
CUAUUAAAUUGGUACAGGUGAGGAGAAGAUGAGCAGGGAGGCGGACGCAUGCAUACAUUUACUGGCUUCAUCAAAGCCUCCCUAUUUACGAUGGCUAAGUGGGAUUUACAUCCACUGAGCGAGAAACUCAGACAUCUUCAUGAGUCACCUUCUUCAGAAGGCAGGAUAGACACAGUUCCACUGACAGAUUUCAGCAAUUAACGAACACAACAAGAUGAAACCAAAAACAUUCCGUAAAACAAAGAAAGCAACAGAAUGGUGUAAACCUCUUUGAACUCCAUCUCUCUUGCCUUGUGACUACUGCAACUUUGAAGUAGCUCCUGUUUGUUUCAGCUGAUUACAGGCAUGGGCCCUUCCUGGUGGUUUGUGUCCUAAG